This 316-nucleotide ribosomal RNA is filed under the name Vibrio parahaemolyticus. RNAcentral describes it as "partial 23S ribosomal RNA". It matches the Rfam family "Bacterial large subunit ribosomal RNA", at positions 197 to 560 of the family's 2925-position model. The record is from RNAcentral. Lineage: Bacteria; Pseudomonadati; Pseudomonadota; Gammaproteobacteria; Vibrionales; Vibrionaceae.
AACAUCUAAGUACCCCGAGGAAAAGAAAUCAACCGAGAUUCCGAAAGUAGCGGCGAGCGAAAUUGGACUAGCCCUUAAGCUUUACACGCGUUAGACGAACGGUCUGGAAAGUCCGACGAUACAGGGUGAUAGUCCCGUAGUUGACGACGUGUGUUCAGUGAAAUCGAGUAGGGCGGGACACGUGAUAUCCUGUCUGAAUAUGGGGGGACCAUCCUCCAAGGCUAAAUACUACUGACUGACCGAUAGUGAACCAGUACCGUGAGGGAAAGGCGAAAAGAACCCCUGUGAGGGGAGUGAAAUAGAACCUGAAACCGUG